This 492-nucleotide ribosomal RNA is filed under the name uncultured bacterium. Its description in RNAcentral is "partial 16S ribosomal RNA". It matches the Rfam family "Bacterial small subunit ribosomal RNA", at positions 29 to 507 of the family's 1533-position model. The record is from RNAcentral.
AGUGAACGCUGGCGGUAGGCCUAACACAUGCAAGUCGAACGGCAGCACAGUAAGAGCUUGCUCUUACGGGUGGCGAGUGGCGGACGGGUGAGGAAUACAUCGGAAUCUACUUUUUCGUGGGGGAUAACGUAGGGAAACUUACGCUAAUACCGCAUACGACCUACGGGGGAAAGCAGGGGAUCUUCGGACCUUGCGCGAUUGAAUGAGCCGAUGUCGGAUUAGCUAGUUGGCGGGGUAAAGGCCCACCAAGGCGACGAUCCGUAGCUGGUCUGAGAGGAUGAUCGGCCACACUGGAGCUGGGACACGGUCCAGACUCCUACGGGAGGCAGCAGUGGGGAAUAUUGGACAAUGGGCGCAAGCCUGAUCCAGCCAGACCGCGUGGGUGGAGAAGGCCUUCGGGUUGUAAAGCCCUUUUGUUGGGAGAGAAAAGCAGCAGGUUAAUACCCCGCUGUUCUGACGGUACCCAAAGAAUAAGCACCGGCUAACUUCGUG